AGUCAGAGCUGGGGAGUGACAGGAGAUGAGAAGAGUGGAUUAGAAAUGGCUCACAGAUACAGAGAGUUUAAAAUAUAUUAGCUCAAAGUAGAAUGGUUCACCUCCAAUCACAGUAUUGCAAGAAAGGCAUCCUGGAACACAAACCUUCCUCUCCUCCCCUCCUUUACUGAGGGGAAUGGAUUUCAGUAUAGACCUUUUGUGUACUGUCAGACAUGGCCAGUGUGUUGGACAUCUUUCCUCUACAAUGCUGGGGCAAUGGGAAAGAAUAAGAGGAAAAAUGUGCUUGUCUCUAGAAUUACUUUUCCCUCUACUUGACCCAAAAUAAAACACACAACAUGUAU
Long non-coding RNA from Vombatus ursinus (common wombat), 341 nucleotides. RefSeq lists it as uncharacterized. Lineage: Eukaryota; Metazoa; Chordata; Mammalia; Diprotodontia; Vombatidae. The record is from RefSeq and is a predicted model, not a curated record. The transcript has 3 exons.